RNAcentral lists this long non-coding RNA (1700 nucleotides) under Homo sapiens (human). RNAcentral's name for it is "long non-coding RNA NONHSAT185204.1". The record is from RNAcentral. Lineage: Eukaryota; Metazoa; Chordata; Mammalia; Primates; Hominidae.
GUGAGUGGUGUUUUUACUUGAAGCAAUGGUGAGAUGCUGAGCCAGAAGGUCAUAGUCAACCUGCAGUAACCCCUCAUCUAAUAAGUCACUUUACCAGGAGUUCCAUCCACUUACAACACAGCUUUGACUCUGGUAUUAAUCAAAUAAAGUUUCUAGCUGUCCCCCAAAUGUUGAGACUUAAUGCAGUGAUGCUGAUAGUGUCCCCAGCCCUCCACUUUCACUGUCUUCCUUUCUUUAAAGCAGCAAAUGGAAGGAGGGAGGGAAGGUGGAGACAAACUACAGCUGAUCAACACCCUGUCCAUACGGAAGGAGCCAGAGUAACUUUUUCAAGAAAAUAAUACAGUCUGAAGGCAUCUGUUCAAAAGCCUUGUUUAUUUCUGAAACCCUAGUGCCUCACUGUAAACCAGCACAGGGCGGUAAUCAGAGUUCAUGGCUAUGGCCUCAAAUCCUCUGUCUGGGAAGGCAAGGAAGUGGAAGAAAGCUUCACUUUCUGUCAAUAGUUUAAAAGGUGGCAUUGCUUGUAUCAAGGAGGGGAAAUGUUUUUUAGAAUAAAAAACAUGUUGGCCUUAGGAGAUUGGUUGUCGAGAAGGAAUUCAUUUUCUUGUGAUACUAGAUAAGGGAGACAUUGAUGUGCUUUUUGCCAGAUUCAUUGUACAGAAGUACGUAAUAUUGUGUGUGAAUUACGAGCCAGAUGAUACAUAAGCUUUGAUCAUGUUUUAAGCUUUGAUCAUGUUUUUUCUUCUGUUCUAAUUCUCAAGGGAGAGCCUGGGGAUGUACAGGAGAUGCCUGCUCCAGAAUCUCCUCCUGGAAGGGAUCCAGCUGCAAAUUUGAGUCUAGCUUUACCAGAUGAUGACGGAAGUGAUGACAGCAGUCCACCAUCAGCCUCCCCUGCUGAAUCUGAGCCACAGUGUGAUCCCAGCUUUAAAGGAGAUGCAGGAGAAAAUACGGCAUUGCUAGAAGCCGGCAGGAGUGACUCUCGGCAUGGAGGACCCAUCUCCUAGCACACGUGCCCACUGAAGUGGCACCAACAGAAGUUUGGCUUGAACUAAAGGACAUUUUAUUUUUUUUACUUUAGCACAUAAUUUGUAUAUUUGAAAAUAAUGUAUAUUAUUUUACCUAUUAGAUUCUGAUUUGAUAUACAAAGGACUAAGAUAUUUUCUUCUUGAAGAGACUUUUCGAUUAGUCCUCAUAUAUUUAUCUACUAAAAUAGAGUGUUUACCAUGAACAGUGUGUUGCUUCAGACUAUUACAAAGACAACUGGGGCAGGUACUCUAAUAUAAAGGACAGGUGGUGUUUCUAAAUAAUUGGCUGCUAUGGUUCUGUAAAAACCAGUUAAUUCUAUUUUUCAAGGUUUUUGGCAAAGCACAUCAAUGUUAGACUAGUUGAAGUGGAAUUGUAUAAUUCAAUUCGAUAAUUGAUCUCAUGGGCUUUCCCUGGAGGAAAGGUUUUUUUUGUUGUUUUUUUUUUAAGAACUUGAAACUUGUAAACUGAGAUGUCUGUAGCUUUUUUGCCCAUCUGUAGUGUAUGUGAAGAUUUCAAAACCUGAGAGCACUUUUUCUUUGUUUAGAAUUAUGAGAAAGGCACUAGAUGACUUUAGGAUUUGCAUUUUUCCCUUUAUUGCCUCAUUUCUUGUGACGCCUUGUUGGGGAGGGAAAUCUGUUUAUUUUUUCCUACAAAUAAAAAGCUAAGAUUCUAUAUCG